RNAcentral lists this transfer RNA (85 nucleotides) under Felis catus (domestic cat). It matches the Rfam family "tRNA". Rfam says of the family: Transfer RNA (tRNA) molecules are approximately 80 nucleotides in length. Lineage: Eukaryota; Metazoa; Chordata; Mammalia; Carnivora; Felidae. The record is from Rfam by way of RNAcentral.
GCCUGGGUGGCUCAGUAGGUUAAGCAUCUGACUUCGGCUCAGGUCAUGAUCUCGCUAUCUGUGAGUUUGAGCCCCACGUCAGGCU